Molecule: non-coding RNA, 112 nt
Filed under: Andreesenella formicacetica
Lineage: Bacteria; Bacillati; Bacillota; Clostridia; Peptostreptococcales; Natronincolaceae
Description: Clostridium formicaceticum Azaaromatic sequence
Rfam family: azaaromatic riboswitch aptamer (yjdF RNA)
Source: RNAcentral
UGUUAUGAAGAUAAAAACACAGUUCGGUUGGUAGUCCGAACCUAUCCAUUAUGCAUUGUGUAGAUAGCAGUAACCUGCCCUCCUGGGGUUGUCCCUUCUUCAUGGUUAGUUA